Long non-coding RNA from Medicago truncatula (barrel medic), 605 nucleotides. RefSeq lists it as uncharacterized. The record is from RefSeq and is a predicted model, not a curated record. The transcript has 2 exons. Lineage: Eukaryota; Viridiplantae; Streptophyta; Magnoliopsida; Fabales; Fabaceae.
UUUUCAUACAAGAUUGUUUCAAAAAGAUCAUCCAGUUUUCUCAUUUUUACCUAUAUUGAUUUUCAUAUAUACAGUUACAAACAUUUUGGUAAAAAACAUCAUUUACAUUUAGAAAACAUGACUUUUUCUGCAAGUAAAUUCUACAUCAUCUUCAUGUACCUCUAUCUUGCUAUUUUCAUUAAUUCCGCAAAAGAUGAAGAAGCAAAAAUUUGUAAAAUUUUGCUUAGUUCAACAAUGAACCAUGGUUGUGAGGAAAUCAAGUGUAACGAAGGCUGCAUCAACGAGGAGAAUGCAAAUUCCGGUGAGUGUAUGGCUACAGGCAUCGUUGUUUUUUUUUGCUACUGCUUCUACGAAUGUGAGCAGUGAUUUUCUAAAAUGUAAAAUCAAUGUAUACAAAUUUACACAUGAUCAAUGAUGCUGUGUUGCACAACAUUUUUUGUGUGGAUUUACAUGGUCUUUAAUUAAUCUUCAUGUGUAAUACAUCUCUUCAUGACUGAAAAUAGGUCGUGAAAGAUAGAUUUUCAUAUAUGAAAGUGAUUGUCAUCGACUUUUAUUUAUUGUCUUGAAGUAAGGAAUUUGAAUAUCAUACUCACCAUUUUCAUAUA